GAUCAUGGCUCAGGACGAACGCUGGCGGCGUGCUUAACACAUGCAAGUCGAACGAAGAGCGAUGGAAGCUUGCUUCUAUCAAUCUUAGUGGCGAACGGGUGAGUAACGCGUAAUCAACCUGCCCUUCAGAGGGGGACAACAGUUGGAAACGACUGCUAAUACCGCAUACGAUUCAAUCUCGGCAUCGAGACUGGAUGAAAGGUGGCCUCUAUUUAUAAGCUAUCGCUGAAGGG
Molecule: ribosomal RNA, 233 nt
Filed under: uncultured bacterium
Lineage: Bacteria
Description: partial 16S ribosomal RNA
Rfam family: Bacterial small subunit ribosomal RNA
Source: RNAcentral